GACGAACGCUGGCGGCGUGCCUAACACAUGCAAGUCAACUUGACUGAAGGAGCAAUCUGACAGUAGAGUGGCGCAAGGGUGCGUAACGCGUAAGUAACUUGCCCCAAGGUAAGGAAUAACGUCGAGAAAUCGGCGCUAAUACCUCAUAAUGCAGCGGAUCCGCAUGGAUAUGUUGUUAAAGGUUUACCGCCUUGGGAUAGGCUUGCGUCUGAUUAGCUAGUUGGUGUGGUAACGGCACACCAAGGCUACGAUCAGUAACUGGUCUGAGAGGAUGAUCAGUCACACUGGAACUGAGACACGGUCCAGACUCCUACGGGAGCAGCAGUGAGGAAUAUUGGGCAAUGCUCGAAAGAGUGACCCAGCAACGCCGCGUGGAGGAUGAAGGUAUUCUAUAUACGUAAACUCCUGUGAGAGCAGACGAAAGACAGAUUAUUAAUCUGGAUGACUGUAUGCUCAGAGGAAGCCCCGG
This 469-nucleotide ribosomal RNA is filed under the name uncultured bacterium. Its description in RNAcentral is "bacterial SSU rRNA". It matches the Rfam family "Bacterial small subunit ribosomal RNA", at positions 28 to 496 of the family's 1533-position model. The record is from RNAcentral.